This 1032-nucleotide ribosomal RNA is filed under the name uncultured bacterium. RNAcentral's name for it is "bacterial SSU rRNA". It matches the Rfam family "Bacterial small subunit ribosomal RNA", at positions 110 to 1174 of the family's 1533-position model. The record is from RNAcentral.
GUAACACGUUGGUGACCUACCCCAGAGAGGGGAAUAACUAUUGGAAACGAUAGCUAAUACCCCAGAUGUCAUUGUCGUUAGAGAGCAAUGACUAAAGCUCCGGCGCUCUGGGAUGGGCCUGCGUCCCAUCAGCUUGUUGGUAGGGUAACGGCCUACCAAGGCUUAGACGGGUAGGGGGCGUGAGAGCGUGACCCCCCACACUGGUACUGACACACGGACCAGAUACCUACGGGUAGCAGCAGCAAGGAAUAUUGCGCAAUGGACGAAAGUCUGACGCAGCAACGCCGCGUGGAGGAUGAAGGCCUUCGGGUUGUAAACUCCUUUUCUGGGGGACGAGAAAGGACGGUACCCCAGGAAUAAGUCUCGGCUAACUACGUGCCAGCAGCCGCGGUAAAACGUAGGAGACGAGCGUUAUCCGGAUUUAUUGGGCGUAAAGCGCAUGCAGGCGGUUUUCUAAGUCGGACGUGAAAGCUCCCGGCUCAACUGGGAGAGGCCGUUCGAAACUAGGGAACUUGAGGGUGGUAGAGGAGAGUGGAAUUCCCGGUGUAGUGGUGAAAUGCGUAGAUAUCGGGAGGAACACCAGUGGCGAAAGCGGCUCCCUGGGCCAUCCCUGACGCUCAGAUGCGAAAGCCAGGGGAGAGAACGGGAUUAGAAACCCCGGUAUUCCUGGCUAUAAACGAUGUCAACUAGGCGUAGGGGGUAUCCAACCCCCCUGUGCUGCAGCUAACGCGUUAAGUUGACCGCCUGGGGACUACGGCCGCAAGGUUAAAACUCAAAGGAAUUGACGGGGCCCCGCACAAGCAGCGGAGCGUGUGGUUUAAUUCGAGGCUACGCGAAGAACCUUACCAGGGUUUGACAUGUGGGUGGUAGGAAGGUGAAAGCUAACCGACCCUUCGGGGAGCCCACACAGGUGCUGCAUGGCUGUCGUCAGCUCGUGCCGUGAGGUGUUAGGUUAAGUCCUGUAACGAGCGCAACCCUCGUCGUUAGUUACAUGUGUCUAACGAGACCGCCGGUGUUAAGCCGGAGGAAGGU